RNAcentral lists this long non-coding RNA (1257 nucleotides) under Salmo salar (Atlantic salmon). RNAcentral describes it as "lncRNA (ENSSSAG00000094617.1, ENSSSAG00000117184.1)". The record is from RNAcentral. Lineage: Eukaryota; Metazoa; Chordata; Actinopteri; Salmoniformes; Salmonidae.
AUGGGAUCUAUAAAGAAACAUCUGAGAUCCUCAAACAUUACAGGAGUCAUUUGUAAUAUCACAGAGCUUUGAUCAGUGCUACUGUAUUCUCAACUAGCAGACAUACAGUGCCUCCUGAUCACACAGACUUUUUUUCACUGUGGCACAUUGGCUCUUAAGAUGUGGGCGUAAUGACUGUUUAUGCUAACCGCAUAGUUUAGUCUUAGAGAACGCUGAGGAUGCUGCCAGAGGAAAUGGGUUUGGAUGUUAAAGAGCGAUAGACCGCAUACCCUGCUGUGUGUUUGAGUAGCUAGCUAGUCAUCCUAUGGAUAAUAUGGUUCACACAAACAACAGACAUAUGAGAAGCACGUACGGCACACACUAAAAUGGUGGUUUUGAUGGAGAUGAGAGGGGAAAUCAUUAUCAAAGUGUUGGAGAUGGGAGGGGAAAUCAUUAUCAAAGUGUUGGAGAUGGGAGGUGAAAUCAUUAUCAAAGUGUUGGAGAUGGGAGGUGAAAUCAUUAUCAAAGUGUUGGAGAUGGGAGGUUAAAUCAUUAUCAAAGUGAUGGAGAUGGGAGGUUAAAUCAUGAUCAAAUUGUUGGAGAUGGGAGGUGAAAUCAUUAUCAAAGUGAUGGAGAUGAGAGGUGAAAUCAUUAUCAAAGUGAUGGAGAUGAGAGGGGAAAUCAUUAUCAAAGUGAUGGAGAUGGGAAGUUAAAUCAUUAUCAAAGUGAUGGAGAUGGGAGGUUAAAUCAUUAUCAAAGUGAUGGAGAUGGGAGGUGAAAUCAUUAUCAAAGUGAUGGAGAUGGGAGGUGAAAUCAUUAUCAAAUCAUUAUCAAAGUGUUGGAGAUGGGAGGUGAAAUCAUUAUCAAAGUGAUGGAGAUGGGAGGUGAAAUCAUUAUCAAAGUGAUGGAGAUGAGAGGGGAAAUCAUUAUCAAAGUGAUGGAGAUGGGAGGUUAAAUCAUUAUCAAAGUGAUGGAGAUGGGAGAAUAAAUCAUUAUCAAAGUGAUGGAGAUGGGAGGUUAAAUCAUUAUCAAAGUGAUGGAGAUGGGAGGUGAAAUCAUUAUCAAAGUGAUGGAGAUGGGAGAUUAAAUCAUUAUCAAAGUGAUGGAGAUGGGAGGUGAAAUCAUUAUCAAAGUGAUGGAGAUGGGAGUGGAAAUCAUUAUCAAAGUGAUGGAGAUGGGAGAUUAAAUCAUUAUCAAAGUGUUGGAGAUGGGAGGUGAAAUCAUUAUCAAAGUGAUGGAGAUGGGAGAUUAAAUCAUUAUCAAAGUGAUGGAGAUGGG